ACUCCUACGGGAGGCAGCAGUAGGGAAUCUUCCACAAUGGGCGCAAGCCUGAUGGAGCAACACCGCGUGAGUGAAGAAGGGUUUCGGCUCGUAAAGAUCUGUUGUUAAAGAAGAACACGUAUGAGAGUAACUGUUCAUACGUUGACGGUAUUUAACCAGAAAGUCACGGCUAACUACGUGCCAGCAGCCGCGGUAAUACGUAGGUGGCAAGCGUUAUCCGGAUUUAUUGGGCGUAAAGAGAGUGCAGGCGGUUUUCUAAGUCUUGAUGUGAAAGCCUUCGGCUUAACCGGAGAAGUGCAUCGGAAACUGGAUAACGUUGAGUGCAGAAGAGGGUAGUGGAACUCCAUGUGUAGCGGUGGAAUGCGUAGAUAUAUGGAAGAACACCGAGUGGCGAAGGCGGCUACCUGGUCUGCAAC
This 416-nucleotide ribosomal RNA is filed under the name uncultured bacterium. RNAcentral's name for it is "bacterial SSU rRNA". It matches the Rfam family "Bacterial small subunit ribosomal RNA", at positions 335 to 740 of the family's 1533-position model. The record is from RNAcentral.